Molecule: long non-coding RNA, 2846 nt
Organism: Schistocerca nitens (vagrant locust)
Lineage: Eukaryota; Metazoa; Arthropoda; Insecta; Orthoptera; Acrididae
Exons: 2
Source: RefSeq, a predicted model, not a curated record
CGUAAGUUGUGGUCUUACUUCAAUUGUAAGUGAAUUGUGCGGUGAUUGCGACCGUUUUAAUGCCGACAUUAAUGAUUCAGAUUCCAGUUUAAACCAGGAGAUGGAAGGUUCUACGAAUAUUAAUUCCAGUACUUAUGAGAUGUCCUGGUCCUGGAGGUGGAAGGAUCUCCUCACAGUGGAGGCAGCUCCUGUCAGUAAGCUUUACCAAAUUAUGGGUACAGCUCCAACAGAUCCUCAUGAAACCAACUUCAGAAAUUGAUAGGAAAAACAGAAAACUGAUUCCAGACACCCCGUAUUUGACCACGAGCAUCGGCGACCAGGACUCAGAAUUGUGAAAGAGCUUCCUGCAGGCAACUACAGCAAUGCCUUCAAUUCCUGGUGCUCGCCUAGUGGAACUUUGACAAGAUCCUUCACCCAAAGCACACGAAACAAAUGUCAAAGGAGAACCAGUGGCAGGUUCAGACCUACCUUAUGUGAUAAGAAAAAAUGCUAAACAGAUUGAUAACUUGGGUUUCACAAUGCAAAGUCAACUUCACAAAAUAGUGCUUCAGCAGCGAUGAUGAAAUUUGCCAUUGUGGUGGCCUGCAGGAGCAUCAACAUCUAUUUGUCUGUUAACAGGAACCUGCUGGACACACUACUACAAGUGAUCUUGCUGCAGCUAAGAAAGCAGCCAAAAUUGUCAAAUAGUGGGCUCUCCCCAGAAUUUGAAGAAAGAGCUUCCUACAGGCAACUACGGCAAUGCCUUCAAUUCCUGGUCCUCGCCUAGUGGAACUUUGACAAGAUCAUUCACCCAAAGCACACAAAACAAAUGUCAAAGGAGAACCAGUGGCAGGUUCAGACCUACCUUAUGUCAUAAGAAAAAAUGCUAAACAGAUUGAUAACUGGGGUUUCACAAUGCAAAGUCAACUUCACAAAAUAGUGCUUCAGCAGCGAUGAUGAAAUUUGCCAUUGUGGUGGCCUGCAGGAGCAUCAACAUCUAUUUGUCUGUUAACAGGAACCUGCUGGACACACUACUACAAGUGAUCUUGCUGCAGCUAAGAAAGCAGCCAAAAUUGUCAAAUAGUGGGCUCUCCCCAGAAUUUGAAGAAAGAGCUUCCUACAGGCAACUACGGCAAUGCCUUCAAUUCCUGGUCCUCGCCUAGUGGAACUUUGACAAGAUCCUUCACCCAAAGCACACAAAACAAAUGUCAAAGGAGAACCAGUGGCAGGUUCAGACCUACCUUAUGUCAUAAGAAAAAAUGCUAAACAGAUUGAUAACUGGGGUUUCACAAUGCAAAGUCAACUUCACAAAAUAGUGCUUCAGCAGUGAUGAUGAAAUUUGCCAUUGUGGUGGCCUGCAGGAGCAUCAACAUCUAUUUGUCUGUUAACAGGAACCUGCUGGACACACUACUACAAGUGAUCUUGCUGCAGCUAAGAAAGCAGCCAAAAUUGUCAAAUAGUGGGCUCUCCCCAGAAUUUGAAGAAAGAGCUUCCUACAGGCAACUACGGCAAUGCCUUCAAUUCCUGGUCCUCGCCUAGUGGAACUUUGACAAGAUCCUUCACCCAAAGCACACAAAACAAAUGUCAAAGGAGAACCAGUGGCAGGUUCAGACCUACCUUAUGUCAUAAGAAAAAAUGCUAAACAGAUUGAUAACUGGGGUUUCACAAUGCAAAGUCAACUUCACAAAAUAGUGCUUCAGCAGUGAUGAUGAAAUUUGCCAUUGUGGUGGCCUGCAGGAGCAUCAACAUCUAUUUGUCUGUUAACAGGAACCUGCUGGACACACUACUACAAGUGAUCUUGCUGCAGCUAAGAAAGCAGCCAAAAUUGUCAAAUAGUGGGCUCUCCCCAGAAUUUGAAGAAAGAGCUUCCUACAGGCAACUACGGCAAUGCCUUCAAUUCCUGGUCCUCGCCUAGUGGAACUUUGACAAGAUCCUUCACCCAAAGCACACAAAACAAAUGUCAAAGGAGAACCAGUGGCAGGUUCAGACCUACCUUAUGUCAUAAGAAAAAAUGCUAAACAGAUUGAUAACUGGGGUUUCACAAUGCAAAGUCAACUUCACAAAAUAGUGCUUCAGCAGUGAUGAUGAAAUUUGCCAUUGUGGUGGCCUGCAGGAGCAUCAACAUCUAUUUGUCUGUUAACAGGAACCUGCUGGACACACUACUACAAGUGAUCUUGCUGCAGCUAAGAAAGCAGCCAAAAUUGUCAAAUAGUGGGCUCUCCCCAGAAUUUGAAGAAAGAGCUUCCUACAGGCAACUACGGCAAUGCCUUCAAUUCCUGGUCCUCGCCUAGUGGAACUUUGACAAGAUCCUUCACCCAAAGCACACGAAACAAAUGUCAAAGGAGAACCAGUGGCAGGUUCAGACCUACCUUAUGUCAUAAGAAAAAAUGCUAAACAGAUUGAUAACUUGGGUUUCACAAUGCAAAGUCAACUUCACAAAAUAGUGCUUCAGCAGCGAUGAUGAAAUUUGCCAUUGUGGUGGCCUGCAGGAGCAUCAACAUCUAUUUGUCUGUUAACAGGAACCUGCUGGACACACUACUACAAGUGAUCUUGCUGCAGCUAAGAAAGCAGCCAAAAUUGUCAAAUAGUGGGCUCUCCACAGAAUUUGAAGAGAAUUAUCUUGCUGUUUUUUUUUUUUUUUUUUAAAUCUUCCUGUCUGUAUUUUAUCAAUACUUGUGGUACAUAUUUUUCCCUGUAUUUUUACUGUUAUUAAUUUCUAUCUGUAUGUUACUGAAUUUCCUCUGUAACUGAUUUUUUAUAUGUAUUCAAUCUCAAUAUGUAUGUUAUUAAUGCUCUGUCGGUUUUGUAAUAAUUCAAUGUCCUGGACAUGUAAAAUAUAGUAAAUAAAUUUCGAGAUUUAAAAGAGA